This 451-nucleotide ribosomal RNA is filed under the name uncultured bacterium. RNAcentral's name for it is "partial 16S ribosomal RNA". It matches the Rfam family "Bacterial small subunit ribosomal RNA", at positions 29 to 523 of the family's 1533-position model. The record is from RNAcentral.
AACGAACGCUGGCGGCAGGCCUAACACAUGCAAGUCGAGCGCCCGGAUUUAUCCGGGAGCGGCGCACGGGUGAGUAACGCGUGGGAACAUGCCCUGAAGUACGGAACAACCUGGGGAAACCUUGGCUAAUACCGUAUACGCCCUGAGGGGGAAAGAUUUAUCGCUUUGGGAUUGGCCCGCGUUGGAUUAGCUGGUUGGUGUGGUAACGGCGCACCAAGGCGACGAUCCAUAACUGGUCUGAGAGGAUGACCAGUCACACGGGGACUGAGACACGGCCCAGACUCCUACGGGAGGCAGCAGUGGGAAAUAUUGGACAAUGGGCGAAAGCCUGAUCCAGCCAUGCCGCGUGAGUGAAGAAGGCCUUCGGGUUGUAAAGCUCUUUCAGCGGGGACGAUGAUGACGGUACCCGCAGAAGAAGCCCCGGCUAACUUCGUGCCAGCAGCCGCGGUAA